Molecule: long non-coding RNA, 2288 nt
Organism: Tribolium castaneum (red flour beetle)
Lineage: Eukaryota; Metazoa; Arthropoda; Insecta; Coleoptera; Tenebrionidae
Exons: 2
Source: RefSeq, a predicted model, not a curated record
UUAAAUUAACAUUAAAACAAAUUAAAUCAAGUGUCGCACCAAUAACAUAUGCAACACAGUAUUCGGAAGUAAAAUUACCGUUGGGGGCGCCACUGAGCUAGGUCGAAAACAGUAACCAUAAAUGGCGGGAAAAUGUUUAUUCGGAUAUUUUGAGCGUUGUACGAAUUUUGGGGCUUCACAAUUAUUACAUUGCCUAUGCGGAAUGAUUAUUGCAUCUUUGAUGCAAGAAACGUAUGUUGACAAAUGAGAGAUGACGAGGAAAACACGAAUAACGAAUGACUGUUUGGUUCACUUUCUUUAUUGGAAAAUUAUUACAAAGACAUUGAAAAGCCUACCUUUUGGGAUAAUUUACGUUUAAAUAUAUCAGCAGUUGUUAAUCUUUAUUGUAGUUUUGUAGAUUUACCGCAGCAUUUCAUGAUUUUUUCAGUGGAAAAUUCUAACCUAAAAUUCGUAACACUUCACUAAUUUAUUGGUUUCUUGAGCCAAACUUUGUGUUCGCUGUGAUCCAUUACUUAUAAUCUUUAAUUAGACAACUCUUUGAUAACACUUUGUAAUCAAAAUUUAAAUAUUUUUCACUUUUUAUCCACUUUCAAGUUCCAACAAUAAACACUUUAUACCACGAAAAACUACAGAACCAAAGUCAACGCUAGUAUUUACCACCACGUACUUUUAAAGUAAUUCUUUCUAUUGUAAGUAAUUAACACUAUACACGCAAAAUUGUUGAACAAUUCAUUAAAUGUCAGUUAAAUGUGGCAUUACGAAAAUUUCUUUACUGUUUUCGACAUAGUUCAAAAGUCAUCACCAGAGGGCGUCUAGUUAAUUUUAUUUCCGAAUACAGAUAUCAGAAACCGUUGUCUGCAACUAUUUUAAAUUUUAACUUGUUGUUGGCAACGCUGACUGUCAACCAGGCAUCCCGAACUGAUAUAGCCAAAUCGAACCCUCACUGAAAUAGGUUUUACUGAUGAUGCGGAUAGAUGGCCUUAGUGUUUUACGGGAAAAAGAAAUCCUAUUGGCGGAUUUAAAAUUUCAGAUUAUUGAAGAAAAACGUGGUACCGAUGCGCGGCUGACAAGUAAAAAUUUUACAAACGUCAGCAAAAUUUGAGUUUAUUUUUUAUAAUAUCACGUUAAUUUUUCAAAGUUUUAUUAAGAUAGUGGUUCAAGGUGUCGUGUUUGGGUUAGACUAUUGCCUACUAUCGGUUAGGAACAACAUGGUCUUCAAAAAUAUAACGUAGUAAUGAGCUCCAGAAGGUUUUCGUAGAUAGGUGCGUUUUUCCCAAAAGUGAGUUUUUUGAAACCAAACCGCAAGUGAGUCACAUUGCGAGGAGACUCCCAUAGACAAAAGUUGCAAACAUAAGGUGCCAGUUUGGCUGAUUGCAAGUAUGUCUUUAUCAUCGAUUCGGUGACGACUGUUAGUUUUGUAAACUUAAUGGAUUUAAUAAAUAUCUUUAAUAUUAAAUGUGAUCGUGUCAUGUUGGGUAAAAUUCUUCCAUCUGUGCUGUCUGUGCAUCCACCUUUUCAAAUACAAUUAGAAAAUUUUCAUAAUAAUUGUAUUUGAUAAGGUUUUGACAUCAUUUUGACAUGAGCAAAAAUUUAAAAAAUACAAAGUAAUCGGGAUUAUUUUAAAUUCGCGCCAUUUUUAGUACGUGAUGAUGCGGCUAGAUGGCUCCAGCUAGGAAUUCAUUGCCAACCAUUAUGUUCCGCUUCUAUAAAAGUGUUAUUCUAGGCUGUCAACCCCAUCUGUUUUACUUUUGAUGCUCGUCGGUGUGUUAACUUUCGCUGCAUAGAAUAACAAAACACAAAAAAAAACAAAGAAAAAAUCAAGAUAAGAUAAAAUGGAUUUAAAUCAGUUAUUAAACGAGUUCCGACAGUUGCAAAUCAUACGCAAGACUGUGAAGAGUCAGAAAAUUCGAAAAAUAACAUUUUGUGCACGUGUUAAAAUGGAACAGGGGUCGCCGGUCUUUUGGGCCACAAUUAGUUUUACACCAAGCGUUGUAAUGACUAUUGUUGAAUCAACUCUUCCAAAUAAUUUUUCACAGCGCAGGCAGUUGAUGAUUUUACAAGAAGAAGUCGAGACUUACCAUAAAGACAACGAUUCCAUUGAAAUUAACUUUCAGGCUCACAUAAAUAAACCUGACCCAUUAAUUAUAUUUGAGAAUAUUGAAGCAACAAAUGAUUUUGAGAUUGCGUUUCGCCAUUUCAUGGAGUAUAGUACAUAAUCCAGAAGUAACAAUAUAUAGAAAAAAUCCAAUGCUUUUGUACUUUUUUUGCAAAUAAAUAUUUAAAUAUCA